This 238-nucleotide ribosomal RNA is filed under the name uncultured bacterium. RNAcentral's name for it is "partial 16S ribosomal RNA". It matches the Rfam family "Bacterial small subunit ribosomal RNA", at positions 524 to 762 of the family's 1533-position model. The record is from RNAcentral.
UACGUAGGCAGCAAGCGUUGUUCGGAAUCAUUGGGCGUAAAGAGUAUGUAGGCGGCCUUGUAAGUCAGUUGUGAAAGCCCCGGGCUCAACCCGGGAAGUGCAAUUGAUACUCGCUUGGCUUGAAUGUGGAAGAGGGCAGUAGAAUUCCAGGUGUAGUGGUGAAAUACGUAGAUAUCUGGAGGAAUACCGGUGGCGAAGGCGGCUGCCUGGUCCUACAUGACGCUGAGAUACGAAGCGU